AGCUCGUGUCGUGAGAUGUUGGGUUAAGUCCGCAACGAGCGCAACCCCCGUGGCCAGUUACGUGGGUGUCUGGCCAGACUGCCGGUAGGCAAGCCGGAGGAAGCGGGGAUGAUGUCAAGUCAGCAUGGCCCUUACGUCCUGGGCUACACGCACGCUACAAUGGGGCGGACAGAGGGUAGCCAAGCCGCGAGGUGGAGCGAAUCCCAAAAACCGCUUCUCAGUUCAGAUUGUGGGCUGCAACUCGCCCGCAUGAAGGCGGAGUCGCUAGUAACCGCAGGUCAGCAGUACUGCGGUGAAUACGUUCCCGGGCCUU
This 313-nucleotide ribosomal RNA is filed under the name uncultured Thermomicrobia bacterium. Its description in RNAcentral is "bacterial SSU rRNA". It matches the Rfam family "Bacterial small subunit ribosomal RNA", at positions 1057 to 1382 of the family's 1533-position model. The record is from RNAcentral. Lineage: Bacteria; Pseudomonadati; Thermomicrobiota; Thermomicrobia.